UACGGGGGGAGCAAGCGUUGUUCGGAUUUACUGGGCGUAAAGGGCGCGUAGGCGGCGGGGUAAGUCGGGUGUGAAAACCCGUGGCUCAACCAUGUGGUCUGCAGUCGAUACGGGCAGGCUAGAAUUCGGUAGGGGAGACUGGAAUUCCUGGUGUAGCGGUGAAAUGCGCAGAUAUCAGGAGGAACACCGGUGGCGAAGGCGGGUCUCUGGGCCGAUAUUGACGCUGAGGAGCGAAAGCGUGGGGAGCGAACAGG
RNAcentral lists this ribosomal RNA (254 nucleotides) under uncultured bacterium. RNAcentral's name for it is "partial 16S ribosomal RNA". It matches the Rfam family "Bacterial small subunit ribosomal RNA", at positions 524 to 776 of the family's 1533-position model. The record is from RNAcentral.